UCAUCAGCAUGAACACCACCACCAUUAUUAUUACCGGCACCAUGGUUGCUGGGGUGGGCUGAUGCACGACGAAUAAGAAUCGCACAAAAAAAGCCCACACCCCUCCAAGGUGUGGGCUUUUUUUUA
This is a non-coding RNA of Photobacterium ganghwense, 126 nucleotides long. NCBI's taxonomy places the organism in Bacteria, Pseudomonadati, Pseudomonadota, Gammaproteobacteria, Vibrionales, Vibrionaceae. The record is from Rfam.